GCGGAUGUGGCGGAAUUGGCAGACGCACCAGACUUAGGAUCUGGCGCCUUCGGCGUGCAGGUUCGACUCCUGUCAUCCGCACCA
Molecule: transfer RNA, 84 nt
Filed under: Phascolarctobacterium faecium
Lineage: Bacteria; Bacillati; Bacillota; Negativicutes; Acidaminococcales; Acidaminococcaceae
Also listed under: 5 other names
Description: tRNA-Leu
Rfam family: tRNA
About the family: Transfer RNA (tRNA) molecules are approximately 80 nucleotides in length. Their secondary structure includes four short double-helical elements and three loops (D, anti-codon, and T loops).
Source: RNAcentral